Molecule: long non-coding RNA, 1219 nt
Filed under: Rattus norvegicus (Norway rat)
Lineage: Eukaryota; Metazoa; Chordata; Mammalia; Rodentia; Muridae
Description: long non-coding RNA NONRATT033221
Source: RNAcentral
CCAAACACAUGCUGGGGCAUAGCAGGCAAAGGGUAGGAUGACUAAGCAGUCGCCUGCAAGAAUAUCAGUGUCUUCUCACAGGCAGAAGCCCCAGGGAGGAUAGCUUAUAUGGUCAAGAGAACAGCAGGAAGGAUAGUAGAAGUUUACAGAUGUCACCAAGUAGGCUCCACAUAUAUGCUAACUAUAAGAUGAGCUAGCCUAAAAUCAGCAAGAGAUAAGAAAGCUGGCUCAGGGACAGGGUGAUGUAGAAAUAACUGGAAAGAUAGGAGUAGGAAUAAGUGAGUGGAUACAUGGUAAUCGCUCCAAUUCAUAGCCAUGACUAGAAGCUUUGGAUACAAAAGACCCAAUUCAAACUAGCUUCCUUAAUUGGGACCAAAGGUAAGCUGGGGUUAGAACUGAUUGAACGAACAGGCAACGUCAGCUCUAUUUGCCUUCCAUUCUUUUGCCUUUCUCCUUGUCUAGAUGACUGAUUGUGAGAGAAAGAUGACAGCAACUGCUUUGGUCUCCAUCUGCAAGGGGUAAGAUCUUCAGGGAAAAAGACAAAAGCAAUUGCUACAAGUGUCUCUUUGACUUCCAUCACGUGUCCGAAUGCAAUUGCUGAUAGAGCCUCCUUUCAUUUUCUGGUCAACAGAGCUCAUCUCUAGACGUGGUGUUUGCUUUCUGUAAGGUCCCCUCUGGCUGAUGGGAACUCUACCACCCCAAAACACAGUGAUUUGCUUAAAAGGCAUCAUGUCGCCAAGCAUGACCACCACACAACUUCCAACUCCAUCCUCUCUCUCUCCAGCCAAACAACCUAUUUAUUUCCAGAGUCAACCUGUUUUCUUGAGUUCCUGCUCUGAGACCAUUUGUGGUCCAGCCAUAGGUCGUGACGAAUCACUCACAUAGAAUAAUAUGGCUAUAAGAACUCAUUCGUAAAUGUGAGUAGUGGGUCAUUUACCAGAGAAAAACAGUCAGUGCCAACUUGGCAUGUGUCCCCAACACAUGGUACUACUGAAGCCUGUGCUAAGUUAAUAUUGUACAUGACUGGUACCACAGGGGUAUGAGCCUCUCUGCAAAAAAUGCACGCCAUGGAGACUACUUUUUUUUCUUUUUCUUUUUUUCGGAGCUGGGGACCGAACCCAGGGCCUUGCGCUUCCUAGGCAAGCACUCUACCACUGAGCUAAAUCCCCAACCCCAAGACUAUUUUAAUCAUAAAAUUGCUUUUAAAGGAAAAAGAAAU